GACGAACGCUGGCGGCGUGCUUAACACAUGCAAGUCGAACGGACAGGCCCUGCUUUUGUGGGGUGCUCGAGUGGCGAACGGGUGAGUAACACGUGAGUAACCUGCCCUUGACUUUGGGAUAACUUCAGGAAACUGGGGCUAAUACCGGAUAGGAGCUCCUGCUGCAUGGUGGGGGUUGGAAAGUUUCGGCGGUUGGGGAUGGACUCGCGGGUUAUCAGCUUGUUGGUGAGGUAGUGGCUUACCAAGGCUUUGACGGGUAGCCGGCCUGGGAGGGUGACCGGCCACAAUGGGACUGAGAGACGGCCCAGACUCGUACGGGAGGCAGCAGUGGGGAAUAUUGCACAAUGGGCGGAAGCCUGAUGCAGCAACGCCGCGUGCGGGAUGACGGCCCUCGGGUUGUAAACCGCUUUCGCCUGUGACGAAGCGUGAGUGACGGUAAUGGGUAAAGAAGCACCGGCUAACUACGUG
Molecule: ribosomal RNA, 468 nt
Filed under: uncultured bacterium
Lineage: Bacteria
Description: partial 16S ribosomal RNA
Rfam family: Bacterial small subunit ribosomal RNA
Source: RNAcentral